This is a small nucleolar RNA of Apodemus sylvaticus (European woodmouse), 145 nucleotides long. RefSeq annotates it as small nucleolar RNA SNORA48. Lineage: Eukaryota; Metazoa; Chordata; Mammalia; Rodentia; Muridae. The transcript has a single exon. The record is from RefSeq and is a predicted model, not a curated record.
CGCCCCUGGCACUGGGCAAAGACACCUUAUGGGUGGUGGUUGGUGUUCUUGCAUCAGUCAGGGGCAGAGCAGGUGGUGGUCCUUUGUUCAUCCAGCUUGAUGGCUGGCUUGGAGGCCAAAGCUAUUUUAUAGCUAGGACUCAUAA